RNAcentral lists this long non-coding RNA (1242 nucleotides) under Cairina moschata (Muscovy duck). Its description in RNAcentral is "domestica (muscovy Duck (domestic type)) lncRNA (ENSCMMG00000007200.1)". The record is from RNAcentral. Lineage: Eukaryota; Metazoa; Chordata; Aves; Anseriformes; Anatidae.
AAAGAUCAAAAUCAAGAUAAAAAAAUCAAGAUAUUUUACUGCCCCAGUAUAGAUUUAGAAUCUUAUUUUUAGGUAUUCCUUAAAGCAUCCUGGUUUCCUUUGUUUGUGUUUUCUUGCAUUUGCCCCACAUACAUUUACAACGGUUUUCUAGAAACAGGGAUCCAAAGUUUCUGAAAUACUUUAAUUACCUAUUGAAAUGUCUAAGUAACUCAAAACCGAUUAAGCCAUUUAAAAUACUACAGGUAUAUAAAAGCACAAAACUAAGUGAAAGUUAGGUUUUCAUGUAUAAAGUAAGGUUAAAUUUGCUUAAUGAGUAAAACAUUGCCAAUCCUAACUGACUGCAGUUAUCAAAUCAGUAUUCCUAAAAUAGGUUUCUAACUCUCUGUGCAUUACAAAGCAAUAUUAGCAUGACUUUUUCUCCUCUGCAUUCACUCCUACAAAGAGAUGGGAUUUUUGAUUGGUUUAUUUCUUGUUUUCACUUUUGUGUGUGUGGUUGAUUUUGAUUCUGUUUUGUUUAGUUUGUUUGAUUGUUUUAAUUUUUAAAUAUUCCUUUUACAGCGUGUGGCUGUACCUGCCUAAGAAACAACUGCAGAAAUAAAAGUGUAUUACAACAUGUAGCCUGCUGUGUAGAAUCUCUGAAGAGAAGGAUUUAUUUUAAAUGGAGAUUAUCCUUUCAUGAAGACAGAAGUGUCUCAUUUCAUGAUGUGUCCGAGGGUGUAAGGUUCAAUAAAGACUUACAGACUUCAUGUGGAAUCUGGAAACUUGACUACUUUUGGCAAGAGGUGGAGAGUCCUGCUUUCUUUCAAAAUAUCAUGACAAUAUGGCUUUCUUUUCAGAAGGUACUUGCACAUAGCUUCCAGUAGGAUUUUUUAUAUUGUCUUCCUGAGGACUGAGAUAUGGCUGACCACUUCUAGUUUUCUGGAUCUUCUUUCUUGAUUUUCUUGAAGUUGCAGUUAAGGAUUUCUUAGUAUAUUUUAAGUAUACAAAGUAUGAUUCCUAUCACAGAGCAUGCUGCCGUUAUAAAUACAGUAAGAAAGGUCCACUAAACCUUCCCCAGACCACUUAUCCUUGGGGUACUCAGCCUCCUGACCUGGAAGUCUGGGACAACCAGGGGAUCAGGCCCAGUCAGCAUGGGUUCAUGAAAGGUAAGUCCUUCCUGACCAAUUUCAUCUCCUUCUAUGACGUACAUGUAGUCUACAUACACAUCAAAAUGGUUGUUGACACGGUCUCCCACAGCAUUCU